ACCCUGGUUUAGUCACUUUCACUGCAUUAAUCAAUGCAUUUGUAAAAAGAGGGAAAAGCAUUGAAAUUGUAUGCGAGAAAGUUUUUAAAAGGAUAAAGUUCACUUGAAACAAAUAACAAAAAGUAAAAAAAAAGACAUAACCAAGAAAAAUGAUUAGGAGGAGGUUUGUAUACAGGUCAACUAGAGUUGAUUAUAUUUGUGUGAAGUAGUCUAUGUAGUAAUGUUUUAAAGGCAUCAGAUUUCACCUUUUUCUUGAAGUACAUAUUUGUUCAGUACUAAUAGUACUAGAAAAAGCUUGUCACCUGUUUUUGUAUAAAAAUGUAUUUGUUGUACUUUGUUUGAGAUUGCAUCAUUUGAAUCUAUAAAGUGUAAUCAUGCAGUAGUUCCUUUGA
This 392-nucleotide non-coding RNA is filed under the name Arabidopsis thaliana (thale cress). The record is from RNAcentral. Lineage: Eukaryota; Viridiplantae; Streptophyta; Magnoliopsida; Brassicales; Brassicaceae.